Molecule: ribosomal RNA, 215 nt
Filed under: Oculatella sp. LLi18
Lineage: Bacteria; Bacillati; Cyanobacteriota; Cyanophyceae; Oculatellales; Oculatellaceae
Description: partial 23S ribosomal RNA
Rfam family: Bacterial large subunit ribosomal RNA
Source: RNAcentral
GGUCAAGCUACAAAGGGCUGAUGGUGGAUACCUAGGCACACAGAGGCGAAGAAGGACGUGGUUACCGACGAUAUGCCCCGGGGAGUUGGAAGCAGGCAUUGAUCCGGGGGUUUCCGAAUGGGGCAACCCUAAAUACGGCGAGUUGAAUCCAUAGACUCGUGCGAGCGAACGCGGCGAAUUGAAACAUCUUAGUAGCCGUAGGAGAAGAAAACAAA